AGGAUCAUUACCGAGUUUUACACUCCAAACCCCUGUGAAAUACCACUUGUUGCCUCCGCGGAUCAGCCCGCUCCCGGUAAAACGGGACGGCCCGCCAGAAGACCCCUAAACUCUGUUUCUAUAUGUGACUUCUGAGUAAAACCAUAAAUAAAUCAAAACUUUCUACAACGGAUCUCUUGGUGCUGGCGUCGAUGAAGAACGCAGCAAAAUGCUAUAAGUAAUGUGGAUUGCUGAAUUCAUUGAAUCAUCAAAUCUUUGAACGCACAUUGCGCCCGCCAGUAUUCUGGCGGGCAUGCCUGUUGUACCGUCAUUUCAACCCUCAAGCAGAGCUUGGUGUUGGGACUCGCGAUAAUUCGCGUCCCCCAAAUUGAUUGGCGGUCACGUCGAGCUUCCGUAGCGUACUACUAAAACCCUCGCUACUGGUAAUCGUCGCGUCCCGCCGUUAAACCCCACUUCUCAUGUUGACCUCGGACACGUAUGAAUCCAGCUGAACUUAGCAUAUCACAAGCGGAGGAAAGCAUAUCAUAAGCGG
Molecule: ribosomal RNA, 532 nt
Filed under: Fusarium oxysporum
Lineage: Eukaryota; Fungi; Ascomycota; Sordariomycetes; Hypocreales; Nectriaceae
Description: eukaryotic LSU rRNA
Rfam family: 5.8S ribosomal RNA (bases 157-310)
Source: RNAcentral